GUCUAUGGCCAUGCCACCCUGAACAAGCCCAAUGUCUGAUAUCGGAAGCUAAGCAAGGUCGGGCCUGGUUAGUACUUGGAUGGGAAACCGCUUAGGAAGAACAGGUGUUGUAAGCA
RNAcentral lists this ribosomal RNA (116 nucleotides) under Pteropus alecto (black flying fox). Lineage: Eukaryota; Metazoa; Chordata; Mammalia; Chiroptera; Pteropodidae. The record is from RNAcentral.